UGCUUAUAUUGGUGUUGCAUACGCGUCUA
Molecule: small RNA, 29 nt
Filed under: Bombyx mori (domestic silkworm)
Lineage: Eukaryota; Metazoa; Arthropoda; Insecta; Lepidoptera; Bombycidae
Description: ovarian small RNA-34268
Source: RNAcentral